RNAcentral lists this small nuclear RNA (162 nucleotides) under Crocodylus porosus (Australian saltwater crocodile). RNAcentral's name for it is "U1 spliceosomal RNA (ENSCPRG00005012381.1)". It matches the Rfam family "U1 spliceosomal RNA". Rfam says of the family: U1 is a small nuclear RNA (snRNA) component of the spliceosome (involved in pre-mRNA splicing). Its 5' end forms complementary base pairs with the 5' splice junction, thus defining the 5' donor site of an intron. Lineage: Eukaryota; Metazoa; Chordata; Crocodylia; Crocodylidae. The record is from RNAcentral.
GUACUUUGAUGGGUUGCACCAAUACCACGAUCAACAGGUUUUCCCAGGAUGAGACCUGUCCAUUGCACUCUGGGCAGCGUGACCCUUAGGAGUUUCCCAAAUGCAGGAAACUUGACUGCACAAUUUUGUGGUAAUGGAGGACUGUGUUUGUGCUUUCCCCCU